RNAcentral lists this small RNA (1148 nucleotides) under Vigna angularis var. angularis. Its description in RNAcentral is "Non-protein coding transcript". The record is from RNAcentral. Lineage: Eukaryota; Viridiplantae; Streptophyta; Magnoliopsida; Fabales; Fabaceae.
CAUGAUUCAGUCAAGAACUGCUGGGUUGUAGCAUAUCUCUUCCUAUCAUCAACAUCUUCAGCUAUUCCAAUAACAGAUAGAAUAAGGGAAACUGCUGACAACAUAUUUACAGACUCUUCAGCUACAACAAUUACCUUCUCCUGUUUUGUAUUCUGGUGUCUAGCAUUAUCAGCUGUCAUAUCAAGAUACAAAUUGUGAUAGACGACGCACCGAGGAGAAGACGGAACUUGAGCGAUUUGGAUUCCUCGAGGCAUUCUUGACAUUGAUGCACAGCUGAAAGAAGCAGAUGAAGCAAAUGAGGCAGCGAAAAUAGCUGAAGAAUUAAGAAGACAAACGGUGAGCCCUAGAUUUGGAGGUUUGUUGGGUUAACAACCUAGGGUUUGAUGUGGAAGCGGAUUUGAACGGUGGAGAAGAAGAUUUAAUGGGUGACAACCCUAGAAAAAGGGGAAAACUACAAAUGAAUCGAAUAAUCGGUUCGAAUGUGAGAAGGAUCGGUUAAUAGGGGUUCAAAUAUGUGGAUAGGAGGUUCUAAUCGGUGAGAAGGGAAGACAUGGUUCGGUGAGGAAAACUUACGGUGCGAAAUCGUGAAGAAGAUGAAGUUUGUGUCAUGGUUGAUGAAGAUGAGGUUAGGUGAGGAGGGUCUCGAGGAGAAAAGGCAGUGUGGUGAAUGAUCCUUCGAGAAGAAACCCUAAGAAGGGCGUUGUUGUUUCGAGAGAGAAAUGGAAUUCUGAAGAAGUGGUUCACGUGAGAGUGAAUGUGAGAGGCAAUGAUGAUGUGGUGCGAGGGGUCUGAUGCGGGCCAAGCGGAAGUGAAGUGGCUGAUAGGAUAGCUGACGCGUGCCAAGUGCAUACGCCGGUUGAGGGAAAGAUGUUGAUAUGGAGAAGUGAUAAUUUGAAGUGUAAAUGGGAGAAUGAAGAUGGAGAGUGAAUGGAAGGUGGCCGGGGAGAAUCCCUUCGAUGCUCCGACCUUGACUUUCAAGGGUGAAUUGAUUCUAAAAUCAUUUCUACAAAAAUCCAAUUCAAUAUUCUUAAAAGUGCCUUACAAGAGGUGAUUGCAUGCUUAUAUAUAGGACUAAAAUGCCCUCUUAUCUACCACAUAUUUUACACCUGUUAAAAGAGGCUUUUUAUACAUUUUUUGAGCAAGAGCAU